RNAcentral lists this ribosomal RNA (207 nucleotides) under uncultured bacterium. RNAcentral's name for it is "partial 16S ribosomal RNA". It matches the Rfam family "Bacterial small subunit ribosomal RNA", at positions 568 to 774 of the family's 1533-position model. The record is from RNAcentral.
UGCGCAGGCGGCGGUUCGCGUGGAUAGAUGAAAUCUCCUGGCUUACCUGGGAGGAUGGUAUCCAGACGGGAUCGCUUGAGGGUCGGAGAGGGGCGUGGAAUUCCGGGUGGAGCGGUGAAAUGCGUAGAGAUCCGGAGGAACACCGACGGCGUAGGCAGCGCCCUGGACGACACCUGACGCUGAGGCACGAAAGCUGGGGAGCAAACA